Molecule: transfer RNA, 66 nt
Filed under: Rhaphidophora quadrispina
Lineage: Eukaryota; Metazoa; Arthropoda; Insecta; Orthoptera; Rhaphidophoridae
Also listed under: 1 other name
Description: tRNA-Leu
Rfam family: tRNA
About the family: Transfer RNA (tRNA) molecules are approximately 80 nucleotides in length. Their secondary structure includes four short double-helical elements and three loops (D, anti-codon, and T loops).
Source: RNAcentral
UCUAAUAUGGCAGAUAAGUGCACUGGAUUUAAGCUCCAAACAUAAAGGUUAAUCCUUUUAUUAGUA